This 983-nucleotide ribosomal RNA is filed under the name human gut metagenome. RNAcentral's name for it is "bacterial LSU rRNA". It matches the Rfam family "Bacterial large subunit ribosomal RNA", at positions 1512 to 2474 of the family's 2925-position model. The record is from RNAcentral.
UUAAGUUUGUAGGUGUGAAGUUUAGGCAAAUCCGGACUUCUUUAACACUGAGAGAUGAUGACGAGGCUCUACGGAGCUGAAGUAACCGAUACCACACUUCCAGGAAAAGCCACUAAGCUUCAGGUUUAUCUAAACCGUACUGAAAACCGACACAGGUGGUCAGGUAGAGAAUACUCAGGCGCUUGAGAGAACUCGGGUGAAGGAACUAGGCAAAAUAGCACCGUAACUUCGGGAGAAGGUGCGCCGGCGUAGAUUGUAGUCCCUAGCGGGCGAAGGUUGAACCGGUCGAAGAUACCAGCUGGCUGCAACUGUUUAUUAAAAACACAGCACUCUGCAAACACGAAAGUGGACGUAUAGGGUGUGAUGCCUGCCCGGUGCUGGAAGGUUAAUUGAUGGUGUAAUCGAAAGAGAAGCUCCUGAUCGAAGCCCCAGUAAACGGCGGCCGUAACUAUAACGGUCCUAAGGUAGCGAAAUUCCUUGUCGGGUAAGUUCCGACCUGCACGAAUGGCAUAAUGAUGGCCAGGCUGUCUCCACCCGAGACUCAGUGAAAUUGAAAUCGCCGUGAAGAUGCGGUGUACCCGCGGCUAGACGGAAAGACCCCGUGAACCUUUACUAUAGCUUGACACUGAACAUUGAAUUUUGAUGUGUAGGAUAGGUGGGAGCCUUUGAAGCAGUCACGCCAGUGAUUGUGGAGGCGUCCUUGAAAUACCACCCUUUAACGUUUGAUGUUCUAACGAAGAUUACGAAACGUGGUCUCGGACAGUGUCUGGUGGGUAGUUUGACUGGGGCGGUCUCCUCCCAAAGAGUAACGGAGGAGCACGAAGGUUUGCUAAUGACGGUCGGACAUCGUCAGGUUAGUGCAAUGGUAUAAGCAAGCUUAACUGCGAGACAGACAAGUCGAGCAGGUACGAAAGUAGGUCAUAGUGAUCCGGUGGUUCUGAAUGGAAGGGCCAUCGCUCAACGGAUAAAAGGUACUCCGGGGA